GUCCUUUAGAUUUAUAUUUAAGGUCUGGCCUGCCCACUGAAAUUUUUAAAGGGCCGCAGUAAUUUGACUGUGCAAAGGUAGCAUAAUCAUUAGUUUUUUAAUUGAAAGCUUGUAUGAAGGGUUGGACGAGGUAAAUUCUGUCUCCAUUUAAAUUAAUAUAGAAUUUAAAUUUUAAGUUAAAAAGCUUAAAUAUGUUUAAAAGACGAGAAGACCCUAUAGAUCUUUAUAUUAAUUAAAAUUAAAUUUGAUAAAGAAUAUUAAUUUUUUUAGUUUUGUUAAUAUUUUAUUGGGGUAAUAGAAAGAUUAAAUAAAUUCUUUUUUUAUUAAACAUUGAUUUAUGAAUUAUUGAUCCAAUUUUAUUGAUUAUAAGAUUAAGUUACCUUAGGGAUAACAGCGUAAUUUUUUUAGAGAGUUCAUAUCGAUAAGAAAGUUUGCGACCUCGAUGUUGGAUUAAAAAUUAUCUUAGGUGCAGAAUUUUAAGAUUUUGGUCUGUUCGACCAUUAAAUUUUU
Molecule: ribosomal RNA, 510 nt
Filed under: Platambus glabrellus
Lineage: Eukaryota; Metazoa; Arthropoda; Insecta; Coleoptera; Dytiscidae
Description: partial 16S ribosomal RNA
Rfam family: Bacterial large subunit ribosomal RNA
Source: RNAcentral